GACGAACGCAGGCGGCGUGCCUAAUACAUGCAAGUUGAGCGAAUUAUUCGGAACUUGUUCCGGAUGGUUAGCGGCGGACGGGUGAGUAACACGUGGGCAACCUGCCUGUAAGACUGGGAUAACACCGGGAAACCGGUGCUAAUACCGGAUAAUCCUUUCCCUCUCAUGAGGGGAAGCUGAAAGUCGGUUUCGGCUGACACUUAAAGAUGGGCCCGCGGCGCAUUAGCUAGUUGGUGAGGUAACGGCUCACCAAGGCGACGAUGCGUAGCCGACCUGAGAGGGUGAUCGGCCACACUGGGACUGAGACACGGCCCAGACUCCUACGGGAGGCAGCAGUAGGGAAUCUUCCACAAUGGACGGAAGUCUGAUGGAGCAACGCCGCGUGAGCGAUGAAGGCCUUCGGGUCGUAAAGCUCUGUUGUUAGGGAAGAACAAGUACCGGAGUAACUGCCAGUACCUUGACGGUACCUAACCAGAAAGCCACGGCUAACUACGUGCCAGCAGCCGCCGCAG
This 512-nucleotide ribosomal RNA is filed under the name uncultured bacterium. RNAcentral's name for it is "partial 16S ribosomal RNA". It matches the Rfam family "Bacterial small subunit ribosomal RNA", at positions 28 to 523 of the family's 1533-position model. The record is from RNAcentral.